This 116-nucleotide unclassified non-coding RNA is filed under the name uncultured Ascomycota. Its description in RNAcentral is "sequence contains ITS1". Lineage: Eukaryota; Fungi; Ascomycota. The record is from RNAcentral.
CUGGGUUACAGGGCGCCUCGGCGCCCGUCACCACCCCCUGCUUCCCGCCCCCUUUCGGCGCGACGGGGCCCAAACUCUGAACAAACUUGCAGCCUGAGUCGAGAAGCAAAUAGUCA